GGCGAUGGAAGCCGUUAGGGCGUGGCGGAACCGGAAGGCGGCCUAGGGACGCACGCAGGCUCGGCUGUCUCUUUAGGCCACGGAGCUGCGUAGAUCCGGAACCCUGGGCGACUGAUCUGUCCCCAUUGGGCGAGACCUACCUAGACAAAGGCCUUAACAUACCGACAAAGGCCUUAAGGGGCCUGGGAGGAAGUCGUACAAAAUAAAUGUCUUCUGGAGAUGAUUUUUGGAAAUGGAGUUAUUAGACAGCCCCUGGAAGCGAUACAUCCACGUUUGUUCAGUGGGUUAGAUGACAUGGAGCUGGAAGACCUGAGAAGGAAGAGAAGAAGGUUCUAUGACAGACUGGUCAUAUUUAGAAGACACUUUCAUAUUCUAUCCAUAGUUUUGUAUGCAUUUUAUUCCUCACUACCUUAUAUAUAGUUGACAAUGCUAAGCUUUUUUGAAAUGUCUGUUUUUUUAGAUGUUCUGAAGUGCCUGAUAUAUGUUAAAAUUAAAGGCAUGAACCUUCAGAGCCCUGAGCUGCCUUGUAAGAAGUCUAGCUAGCAAUGCCACCAUGCUGGAGAGAUGAUGAGGGAAAACUACAUACAGACACAAACAGAGUGAGACACUCAAGAAGCCCUAGUUGUGGAAUACAGCAGUGCUAUGGAGGCUUGACAUAACCAUCUACUUUUCCAGAAACCCACAUUGUCUAAGGUAAAAUAACUGCUCUGGAAAAGAAGGCAAGAAAGUAAAACAAGGCAAUUUCAC
This 747-nucleotide long non-coding RNA is filed under the name Homo sapiens (human). Its description in RNAcentral is "HSALNT0354141". Lineage: Eukaryota; Metazoa; Chordata; Mammalia; Primates; Hominidae. The record is from RNAcentral.